This 491-nucleotide ribosomal RNA is filed under the name uncultured bacterium. Its description in RNAcentral is "partial 16S ribosomal RNA". It matches the Rfam family "Bacterial small subunit ribosomal RNA", at positions 29 to 506 of the family's 1533-position model. The record is from RNAcentral.
AGUGAACGCUGGCGGUAGGCCUAACACAUGCAAGUCGAACGGCAGCACAGUAAGAGCUUGCUCUUACGGGUGGCGAGUGGCGGACGGGUGAGGAAUACAUCGGAAUCUACUUUUUCGUGGGGGAUAACGUAGGGAAACUUACGCUAAUACCGCAUACGACCUACGGGUGAAAGCAGGGGAUCUUCGGACCUUGCGCGAUUGAAUGAGCCGAUGUCGGAUUAGCUAGUUGGCGGGGUAAGGGCCCACCAAGGCGACGAUCCGUAGCUGGUCUGAGAGGAUGAUCAGCCACACUGGAACUGAGACACGGUCCAGACUCCUACGGGAGGCAGCAGUGGGGAAUAUUGGACAAUGGGCGCAAGCCUGAUCCAGCCAUACCGCGUGGGUGAAGAAGGCCUUCGGGUUGUAAAGCCCUUUUGUUGGGAAAGAAAAGCAGCAGGUUAAUACCCCGCUGUUCGGACGGUACCCAAAGAAUAAGCACCGGCUAACUUCGU